AGACUAAAUCACUCCUUCAAGCUGCCUCUGAAAGCUUCCAAUUGCAGCAGAUAUAAACCUUGUGGAAGGGACUUGGGCCUGCAGCCAUACAGAAAACUAAUCUUCAGCAAGCAGGGCCGACCAGGUUUCAGCACGAGCAUGUGAGGGCUGCUGUGCCCAACUCCGUGUGACGUUGGCAGAGGAGCAGCACCACGAAUCCAGCAGCGCUCGCUGUGGUGGGGAAAUGCCAAGGAAGCGCUUUCACGGUGCCAGGCUGAUCUUAACGCUGAUGUUCGCCAUCCAGGAGGAAGCAAGCUGCACAGCUAAAAGGAGACACGUCACCAAGGAAGAGUUGAAUGCUUCCUGA
Molecule: long non-coding RNA, 346 nt
Organism: Hirundo rustica (Barn swallow)
Lineage: Eukaryota; Metazoa; Chordata; Aves; Passeriformes; Hirundinidae
Exons: 2
Source: RefSeq, a predicted model, not a curated record